GAUGAAGAACGCAGCGAAAUGCGAUAAGUAAUGUGAAUUGCAGAAUCCAGUGAAUCAUCGAAUCUUUGAACGCACAUUGCGCCCGCCAGUAUUCUGGCGGGCAUGCCUGUCUGAGCGUCAUUUCAACCCUCAUGCCCCUAGGGCGUGGUGUUGGGGAUCGGCCAAAGCCCGCGAGGGACGGCCGGCCCCUAAAUCUAGUGGCGGACCCGUCGUGGCCUCCUCUGCGAAGUAGUGAUAUUCCGCAUCGGAGAGCGACGAGCCCCUGCCGUUAAACCCCCAACUUUCCAAGGUUGACCUCAGAUCAGGUAGGAAUACCCGCUGAACUUAAGCAUAUCAAUAAGCGGAGGA
This 348-nucleotide unclassified non-coding RNA is filed under the name soil metagenome. RNAcentral's name for it is "partial contains 5.8S ribosomal RNA, internal transcribed spacer 2, and large subunit ribosomal RNA". The stretch from base 1 to 120 matches the Rfam family "5.8S ribosomal RNA", at positions 35 to 154 of the family's 154-position model. The record is from RNAcentral.